RNAcentral lists this ribosomal RNA (800 nucleotides) under uncultured bacterium. RNAcentral describes it as "bacterial SSU rRNA". It matches the Rfam family "Bacterial small subunit ribosomal RNA", at positions 18 to 796 of the family's 1533-position model. The record is from RNAcentral.
CCUGGCUCAGAAUCAACGCUGGCGGCGUGCCUCAGACAUGCAAGUCGAACGCGAAAGCCUCCUUCGGGGGGCAAGUAGAGUGGCGCACGGGUGAGUAACACGUAGGUAAUCUACCUUUGGAUUGGGAAUAACAACCGGAAACGGUUGCUAAUACCGAAUAAUGCAGCGGCACCUAAUGGUGACAGUUGUUAAAGCGGGGGAUCGCAAGACCUCGCGUCUAAAGAGGAGCCUGCGGCGGAUUAGCUAGUUGGUAAGGUAACGGCUUACCAAGGCGAUGAUCCGUAGCCGGCCUGAGAGGGCGGUCGGCCACACUGACACUGACAUACGGGUCAGACUCCUACGGGAGGCAGCAGUCGGGAAUUUUGGGCAAUGGGCGAAAGCCUGACCCAGCAACGCCGCGUGAAGGAUGAAAUCCCUCGGGAUGUAAACUUCGCAAGAACGGGAAGAAUAAGUAGGAGUUAAUAUCUCUUACGAUGACGGUACUGUUUGUAAGCUCCGGCUAACUCCGUGCCAGCAGCCGCGGUAAUACGGGGGGAGCAAGCGUUGUUCGGAUUUACUGGGCGUAAAGGGCGCGUAGGCGGCCACCGCAAGUCGACUGUGAAAUCUCCGGGCUUAACCCGGAAAGGUCAGCCGAUACUGCGGGGCUAGAGUGCAGAAGGGGCAACUGGAAUUCUCGGUGUAGCGGUGAAAUGCGUAGAUAUCGAGAGGAACACCUGCGGCGAAGGCGGGUUGCUGGGCUGACACUGACGCUGAUGCGCGAAAGCUAGGGGAGCGAACGGGAUUAGAUACCCCGGUAGUCC